GUGCUCAUAUCUGUAGCACAUAUACUAUAUUGGAAGGAUACAGAGAAGAUUAGCAUGGACCCUGUGAAAGGAUGCCUUGCAAACUCAUGAAGUAUUCUAUAUUUUU
This is a small nuclear RNA of Onychomys torridus (southern grasshopper mouse), 106 nucleotides long. The record is from RefSeq and is a predicted model, not a curated record. NCBI's taxonomy places the organism in Eukaryota, Metazoa, Chordata, Mammalia, Rodentia, Cricetidae.